This 480-nucleotide ribosomal RNA is filed under the name uncultured bacterium. RNAcentral's name for it is "bacterial SSU rRNA". It matches the Rfam family "Bacterial small subunit ribosomal RNA", at positions 64 to 524 of the family's 1533-position model. The record is from RNAcentral.
GAGCGAAUGGAUUAAGAGCUUGCUCUUAUGAAGUUAGCGGCGGACGGGUGAGUAACACGUGGGUAACCUGCCCAUAAGACUGGGAUAACUCCGGGAAACCGGGGCUAAUACCGGAUAACAUUUUGCACUGCAUGGUGCAAAAUUGAAAGGCGGCUUCGGCUGUCACUUAUGGAUGGACCCGCGUCGCAUUAGCUAGUUGGUGAGGUAACGGCUCACCAAGGCAACGAUGCGUAGCCGACCUGAGAGGGUGAUCGGCCACACUGGGACUGAGACACGGCCCAUACUCCUACGGGAGGCAGCAGUAGGGAAUCUUCCGCAAUGGACGAGAGUCUGACGGAGCAACGCCGCGUGAGUGAUGAAGGCUUUCGGGUCGUAAAACUCUGUUGUUAGGGAAGAACAAGUGCUAGUUGAAUAAGCUGGCACCUUGACGGUACCUAACCAGAAAGCCACGGCUAACUACGUGCCAGCAGCCGCGGUAAU